This 521-nucleotide ribosomal RNA is filed under the name uncultured bacterium. RNAcentral's name for it is "partial 16S ribosomal RNA". It matches the Rfam family "Bacterial small subunit ribosomal RNA", at positions 355 to 867 of the family's 1533-position model. The record is from RNAcentral.
UGGGGAAUUUUGGACAAUGGGCGAAAGCCUGAUCCAGCAAUGCCGCGUGUGUGAAGAAGGCCUUCGGGUUGUAAAGCACUUUUGUCCGGAAAGAAAUCCUUGGCUCUAAUACAGUCGGGGGAUGACGGUACCGGAAGAAUAAGCACCGGCUAACUACGUGCCAGCAGCCGCGGUAAUACGUAGGGUGCAAGCGUUAAUCGGAAUUACUGGGCGUAAAGCGUGCGCAGGCGGUUUGCUAAGACCGAUGUGAAAUCCCCGGGCUCAACCUGGGAACUGCAUUGGUGACUGGCAGGCUAGAGUAUGGCAGAGGGGGGUAGAAUUCCACGUGUAGCAGUGAAAUGCGUAGAGAUGUGGAGGAAUACCGAUGGCGAAGGCAGCCCCCUGGGCCAAUACUGACGCUCAUGCACGAAAGCGUGGGGAGCAAACAGGAUUCAGAUACCCUGGUAGUCCAGCGCCCUAAACGAUGUCAACUAGUUGUUGGGGAUUCAUUUCCUUAGUAACGUAGCUAACGCGUGAAGUUG